UACGUAGGGUGCGAGCGUUAAUCGGAAUUACUGGGCGUAAAGCGUGCGCAGGCGGUUGGUCAAGUCAGAUGUGAAAGCCCCGGGCUUAACCUGGGAACUGCGUUUGAAACUGACCGGCUAGAGUUUGGCAGAGGGGGGUGGAAUUCCACGUGUAGCAGUGAAAUGCGUAGAGAUGUGGAGGAACACCGAUGGCGAAGGCAGCCCCCUGGGCCAGAACUGACGCUCAUGCACGAAAGCGUGGGGAGCAAACAGG
RNAcentral lists this ribosomal RNA (253 nucleotides) under uncultured bacterium. Its description in RNAcentral is "partial 16S ribosomal RNA". It matches the Rfam family "Bacterial small subunit ribosomal RNA", at positions 524 to 776 of the family's 1533-position model. The record is from RNAcentral.